GCUCGGCGGCGACGGGAAGCAGCUGCGGCGGGAGCUGUGGCGACUGGAGCAACCCAUCGCCGGCAUCACUCUCCCACGACGGUGGGCUAGUAAGCCCUUCCUCCUCUUCUUGACCCCCUUCUCAUCCCCUUUAUUCCUAGGGUUCAUAGAUUCUUGAUUUGAGAAAAUUGGUGAUACGGGGUGAUUUUUGACUUCCUUCGAUGAUGCAAAAGCAGUUGUGCUUUGAGUUGGUUGCUGUGGUAUCUGUGAUGCUACCUUUGAUGUCCUUGACAUGUCUAAUUGAAGGAGCUGACUGUUAAAAAAAAUUGAAUGAGCUGUGUGUUUUUCUCAGGCGAAUUGGGUUAGUCAUGGGUUCCCAGGGGCAUUGCUCCAUGUUGCUCGAUUAGUCACUGUCUGUUGCAUGCUCAACCAGCUGUUUAGUGUCUGUUUUCCUUUUUUUUAGAGGAAUUAGGGGUAUGAACUGAUUGAAUAGGCCAAUGUGCAUGCACCAAAAGAUUCAACCUUUCUUUUUCUUGUUCAAGCUUUGAUUUGAACUAUUUUACAGGAGAGAUUAUUUGCUUCACUUGAACAUCAAGUAUUGUUCGUAUCAAAAUAAGGGUGUCUUUGAACUCUAUAAAUUAUUGGGAAGAUACUAGACAUAUUUACACAUAUUAUUAGACUGAUAGAUGGGUGGGUUCCUUGGACAAGCAACUAAUGAACAAGACUUGUAUUCAGAUUUUUCAGUUCUGUCUAUUUAUUUAUUUAUUUUCCUCAAACGCCCCUAAGACGGGGCUGCCACCUCGUCUUGCAGCAUGACUUCAUCGAGGGCGGCGCCGUUACCACUCGAUGAGCUCUUCCUCUGUUUCGUGCUCCUCAAUUUUUAUUUUUCUUCAUGCUCCGGUCCUCAGUUUCUUGGGUUCUUCUUGCUCUGGUUCGCAGUUUCUUUAUCAUAUCCAGCAACCAAUAUCAUUAGACAAUAGGCCUUUUUGGUAAAGUUCCAGAGCUCGAUAACAAGACUUUUCAAAUCUAAAAAAUGUUAUGUAUACCCUAUAUUUUUGCCAUGUGAUUCAGAGUAUCAAUGAUUGUGCCCAGAUUGCACUAUUAUUCUCGCUUUGCAUUGCUUAGCUAGUUGUUCAAAAAUUCAUUUUUCUUCUUAGCAUUGACCAAGAGAAAUGAAAGAUAAAAAGAACAAUUUCUAAGCUAACAAGGAGAGAAAAUAGGUUACCGUUGCAUUCUUUCAACUUCCAGUUACUUUCUUUCAUCUAACUUACUGCAGAUCAACGGUUCUUUCUUUUAUGUGAGAAGUCCAUGACAUGCUUAUUUACCAUGUUUACUUGUGCUGAUGUCUAAAUUAUUCAUUGCAAUUAUACUUAUGAUGUACUGCUAGCAAUCUUUAAUGCUGUAUCUAUGCAGGAAUGAAGAGCUCAUGUAUAAGUGGCCAUGUUUGUGGAGGAAUUCAUGGCCGACAUCACCAACAAUGAACGGACACGUCCUCUCAAGUUUUGCUAGAAACCACUUUUGGACGCCGAUAGGACAGUGAUUGAGGCGCUGCGCUCUAACUUGACACCGUGGGGUCGUCUUCGACUUAAAAUCUGAUGAAGCAUGAGCGUUUGGUGUCGUUGUGGCGGCUGCUAGCAAGUGCGCAAGCAGAUAAGUCAGCCACGACUCUUCCGUUGAUCAGUCGAAUCUGGUGUGAUUGAUGAACUCUAAAUCCAGCCUGUGUUUUUGCUUGAUGAAACAACGCAUAUAUAUUGUAUGAUCUGAUGCUAUUGUUAACUGCUACUGUGAUGAGCUAGAUUUGACAGUUUAGUUAGCUGCUACUGUGUUGAGCUAGUGUCUUAUAGUUUCACUGCAUUUUGUAGUGAGAAGUGUUGCUUAUGGGAGGGAGUAACCGAACAGAAUUUAAGACGAAGGGAUUUGUGGGGAAGGUGUUGGCAGGGAUUGGGUGACAUGAGCGGAUUCACCCAAUCCCUGCAGAGGUUGGUUCCUCACAGGGAAGGAAACCCCAACAACCGAACGAAGCCUUAAGAAGAAAGGAAACAAAAAAAUAAGAAAUUUGCACAUAAUUUAUGCAAAGAUUGCAUUUUUUAUAAUAUGCAAGAUUAAGUAUAUAAUAGUAGAAUUCUCACAAAAAAGAAAGUUUACUAAGAAGGAAUGAAUUAGUGACAUUGGUAUUACCAUUAAAAAAAGAAAAUGAAACAAAUACUAAAUCAAAAACUAAAUAAUGAAGUUUUGUAAGAAAAAAUGAAUUAGUGGUUUUGGUAUUACUCUUCAGAAAAAUAUGAAAUAACUACUAAAACAAAAUCAAAAUAAUGAAGUUUUCUAAGUAAGAAUUAAUUAGUUGCAUUGAUAUUACCCUUUAAGAAUAAGGAAUUAUAAAUUAAUCAAACAAUAACAAAAUUUACACACAAUAUGUACAAGAAAUUGUGCUUUCAAUAAUAUGCAAGAAUGUGCAUAUGGUAGUGGAAUUUUCACAGAAAAUACAAUUAUAAUGAAACUUCACUAUUUUAGUAGUAUGUAAGAAAUAAGCACAUAAUAGUGCGUUUUUCACAAAAUUACACUUUAUACACAUAUUAUAAAUUACUACGUGUGUAUAUAUUUUAUAUUCACCCAACAUCCAAAAUAUACCCAUAAAAACCGACAAAAAACAGAAGCAAAAACGCACACAAAUAACCUAAUAAGAAAACACGUAAGACUUCAGCCCAACAAGAAAUUUACUGACCCAAGAUAGGCGUCAAUAAAAAACGUCCAGCCCAAUAAAGCACACACAACAGGAAAA
Molecule: long non-coding RNA, 2758 nt
Filed under: Triticum aestivum (bread wheat)
Lineage: Eukaryota; Viridiplantae; Streptophyta; Magnoliopsida; Poales; Poaceae
Description: long non-coding RNA (TAES_LNC000578)
Source: RNAcentral